RNAcentral lists this unclassified non-coding RNA (350 nucleotides) under Hevea brasiliensis (rubber tree). Lineage: Eukaryota; Viridiplantae; Streptophyta; Magnoliopsida; Malpighiales; Euphorbiaceae. The record is from RNAcentral.
UAUACUCUUUUUUUUUAGGGUUCAACUAUUUUCUAGCUCUGUGUCGACAAAAUGGUUUCUCUUAAUCCAAUCACUCAAUCCCAAUCUUUAUUUAACAAAACCCACUUCCAAGUUUCCCCAUGUCACUCUCUUUCGACUGAUAAUUUCCAAUCCAUUUUUAUACCCAAAAGAGUUUCUUUUCAGUUUCAAUUCCCUCUCUCUCUGAGAAUUGUGAAUAUGCCCAUGAAAGCUGCUGCUGUUGUUUCCGCCACCACUGCGGAGAAACCUAAAAAGCGCUACCCAGGAGAGGCUAAGGGGUUUGUGGAGGAGAUGAGGUUUGUAGCGAUGAAGUUGCAUACCAGGGAGCAGGC